AGAGUUUGAUCCUGGCUCAGAUUGAACGCUGGCGGGAUGCUUUACAUGCAAGUCGAACGGCAGCACGGACUUCGGUCUGGUGGCGAGUGGCGAACGGGUGAGUAAUGUAUCGGAACGUGCCUAGUAGCGGGGGAUAACUACGCGAAAGCGUAGCUAAUACCGCAUACGGCCCGGGGGAAAGCGGGGGACCUUCGGGCCUCGCACCAUUAGAGCGCCGAUAUCGAUUAGCUAGGGUAAAUGGCUCACCAAGGCGACGAUCCGUAGCUGGUUUGAGAGGACGACCUCAGCCACACUGGGACUGAGACACGGCCCAGACUCCUACGGGAGGCUGCAGUGGGGAAUUUGACAAUGGGGGAAACUCCUGAUCCAGCCAUCCGGCGUGUGCGAUGAAGGCCUUCGGGUUGUAAAGCACUUUGGCAGGAAGAAACGGCACGGAUAAUACCCCGUGUAACUGACGGUACCUGCAGAAUAAGCACCGCUAACUACGCCAGCAGCCGCGGUAAUACGUAGGGUGCAAGCGUUAAUCGGAAUUACCGGGCGCGGCAGGCGGUUCGGAAAGAAAGAUGUGAAAUCCCAGAGCUUAACUUCUUUGGAACUGCAUUUUUAACUACCGAGCUAGAGUGUGUCAGAGGGAGGUGGAAUUCCGCGUAGCAGUGAAAUGCGUAGAUAUGCGGAGGAACACCGAUGGCGAAGGUGCCUCCUGGGAUAACACUGACGCUCAGCACGAAAGCGUGGGGAGCAAACAGGAUUAGAUACUCCUGGUAGUCCACGCCCUAAACGAUGUCAACUAGCUGUUGGGGCCUUCGGGCCUCUGGUGAAGGCAGCUAACGCGUGAAGUUGACCGCCUGGGGAGUACGGUCGCAAGAUUAAAACUCAAAGGAAUUGACGGGGACUCCGCACAAGCGGUGGAUGAUGUGGACGACCUGAUGCAACGCGAAAACCUACCUACCCUUGACAUGUCUGGAAUCCCGAAGAGAUUUGGGAGUGCCUGCAAGAGAACCGGAACACAGGUGCUGCAUGGCUGUCGUCAGCUCGUGUCGUGAGAUGUUGGGUUAAGUCCCGCAACGAGCGCAACCUCUUGUCAUUAGUUGUUACUGAAAGGGCACUCUAAUGAGACUGCCGGUGACAAACUGAGGAAGGUGGGGAUGACGUCAAGUCCUCAUGGCCCUUAUGGGUAGGCUUCACACGUCAUACAAUGGUCGGGACAGAGGGUCGCCAACCCGCGAGGGGGAGCCAAUCCCAGAAACCCGAUCGUAGUCCGGAUCGCAGCGUCUGCAACUCGACUGCGUGAAGUCGGAAUCGCUAGUAAUCGCGGAUCAGCAUGUCGCGGUGAAUACGUUCCCGGGUCUUGUACACACCGCCUGUCACACCAUGGGAGUGGGUUUUACCAGAAGUAGUUAGCCUAACCGUAAGGAGGGCGAUUACCACGGUAGGAUUUAUAUGACUGGGGUGAAGUCGUAACAAGGUAG
RNAcentral lists this ribosomal RNA (1469 nucleotides) under uncultured Bordetella sp. RNAcentral's name for it is "partial 16S-23S ribosomal RNA intergenic spacer". It matches the Rfam family "Bacterial small subunit ribosomal RNA". Lineage: Bacteria; Pseudomonadati; Pseudomonadota; Betaproteobacteria; Burkholderiales; Alcaligenaceae. The record is from RNAcentral.